GACGAACGCUGGCGGCGUGCUUAACACAUGCAAGUCGAACGGUGAAGCGCCUUCCUUUUUGGUGGGUGUGGAUGAGUGGCGAACGGGUGAGUAACACGUGAGUAACCUGCCCCCUUCUUCUGGAUAACCGCAUGAAAGUGUGGCUAAUACGGGAUAUUCUGGGUCUGUCGCAUGAUGGGUCUGGGAAAGAUAUUGUUUCGGUGGGGGAUGGGCUCGCGGCCUAUCAGCUUGUUGGUGGGGUGAUGGCCCACCAAGGCGGUGACGGGUAGCCGGCCUGAGAGGGUGGACGGUCACACUGGGACUGAGACACGGCCCAGACUCCUACGGGAGGCAGCAGUGGGGAAUAUUGCACAAUGGGCGCAAGCCUGAUGCAGCGACGCCGCGUGAGGGAUGGAGGCCUGCGGGUUGUGAACCUCUUUCGCCAGUGAAGCAGGCCUGCCUCGUUUGUGGGUGGGUUGACGGUAGCUGGAUAAGAAGCGCCGGCUAACUACGUG
This 494-nucleotide ribosomal RNA is filed under the name uncultured bacterium. RNAcentral describes it as "partial 16S ribosomal RNA". It matches the Rfam family "Bacterial small subunit ribosomal RNA", at positions 28 to 507 of the family's 1533-position model. The record is from RNAcentral.